AUUGCCUCAGUAACGGCGAGUGAAGCGGCAACAGCUCAAAUUUGAAAUCUGGCCCUAGGCCCGAGUUGUAAUUUGCAGAGGAUGCUUUUGGCAAGGUGCCUUCCGAGUUCCCUGGAACGGGACGCCAUAGAGGGUGAGAGCCCCGUCUGGUCGGACACCGAGCCUCUGUAAAGCUCCUUCGACGAGUCGAGUAGUUUGGGAAUGCUGCUCAAAAUGGGAGGUAUAUGUCUUCUAAAGCUAAAUACCGGCCAGAGACCGAUAGCGCACAAGUAGAGUGAUCGAAAGAUGAAAAGCACUUUGAAAAGAGAGUUAAAUAGCACGUGAAAUUGUUGAAAGGGAAGCGUUUAUGACCAGACUUGGCCCGGUUGAUCAUCCAGCGUUCUCGCUGGUGCACUCUGCCGGUCCAGGCCAGCAUCAGUUCGUCGCGGGGGAUAAAGGUUUCGGGAAUGUGGCUCCUCCGGGAGUGUUAUAGCCCGUUGCGUAAUACCCUGCGGUGGACUGAGGUCCGCGCUUCUGCAAGGAUGCUGGCGUAAUGGUCAUCAACGACCCGUCUUGAAACACGGACCAAGGAGUCGUCUUCGUAUGCGAGUGUUCGGGUGUAAAACCCCUACGCGUAAUGAAAGUGAACGCAGGUGAGAGCUUCGGCGCAUCAUCGACCGAUCCUGAUGUUCUCGGAUGGAUUUGAGUAAGAGCAUACGGGGCCGGACCCGAAAGAAGGUGAACUAUGCCUGUAUAGGGUGAAGCCAGAGGAAACUCUGGUGGAGGCUCGCAGCGGUUCUGACGUGCAAAUCGAUCGUCAAAUAUGGGCAUGGGCGCGAAAGACUAAU
RNAcentral lists this ribosomal RNA (827 nucleotides) under Xepicula leucotricha. RNAcentral's name for it is "eukaryotic LSU rRNA". It matches the Rfam family "Eukaryotic large subunit ribosomal RNA", at positions 74 to 935 of the family's 3401-position model. The record is from RNAcentral. Lineage: Eukaryota; Fungi; Ascomycota; Sordariomycetes; Hypocreales; Stachybotryaceae.